This 74-nucleotide transfer RNA is filed under the name Bacteroidales bacterium. RNAcentral describes it as "tRNA-Pro". It matches the Rfam family "tRNA". Rfam says of the family: Transfer RNA (tRNA) molecules are approximately 80 nucleotides in length. Their secondary structure includes four short double-helical elements and three loops (D, anti-codon, and T loops). Further hydrogen bonds mediate the characteristic L-shaped molecular structure. tRNAs have two regions of fundamental functional importance: the anti-codon, which is responsible for specific mRNA codon recognition, and the 3' end, to which the tRNAs corresponding amino acid is attached (by aminoacyl-tRNA synthetases). tRNAs cope with the degeneracy of the genetic code in two manners: having more than one tRNA (with a specific anti-codon) for a particular amino acid; and 'wobble' base-pairing, i.e. permitting non-standard base-pairing at the 3rd anti-codon position. Lineage: Bacteria; Pseudomonadati; Bacteroidota; Bacteroidia; Bacteroidales. RNAcentral also lists the same sequence under 1 other name. The record is from RNAcentral.
CGGGAUGUGGCGCAGUUGGUUAGCGCACCUGCUUUGGGAGCAGGGGGUCCUGCGUUCGAGUCGCAGUAUCCCGA